RNAcentral lists this non-coding RNA (215 nucleotides) under Thalassospira alkalitolerans. The record is from RNAcentral. Lineage: Bacteria; Pseudomonadati; Pseudomonadota; Alphaproteobacteria; Rhodospirillales; Thalassospiraceae.
UCACAUCAAUUGAUUAUCGGUAUCCGAAAUUCGGAUAAAGGGAAUUCGAAACCGAUUGCCCCGUCUGGGGCAUUUGGUGAACCGAAGCUGCCCCCGCAACUGUAGGCGGUGAGCAUUACCCGAAAGCUAUACCACUGAGGCUCCCAAUGCCUUGGGAAGGUCGGGAAAUGCGUUGAACCGUGAGCCAGGAGACCUGCCGAUAUUCGUAGCGACUG